GCCUUCCAAAGUGCUGAGAUUACAGGUGUGAGCCACCACACCCGGCCCCUGUUUGGGUUUUAAAUGACAGUUUUCUCUGUUGUGCUAGCACCUCCCCUCAGUUCAGGGACCUUCACCCCCAGCCUGGGCAUUUCGUCUGGAAUGAGACUUGUGGGGUUGCUUGGCGCUUGAGGCCAGGAUAUACUCUGAGCUGCGGAUGGCCAUCUCCUCUCCUGGGGCCUCGUUUCCCUCUGACCUCCUGCCCUCAUCACCUGGUGAUCUGGACCCAGGGCCAUAUCCCUUCUCUGCCCAGUUCUUGGGGCAGUGAUGGUGUCAGGCCGUUUGUGGGUCCCCCUGGUGCCCUGUCUGCCCCUCCACAAGACCUGGGAACUGCGGGAGGACAUGGGGACAGCCCAGGGGCAGGCUGGGGUUCCUGUGUGCUCGGGAAUGCCCCUCAGUUCCGCAUGGCCUUGUCUGUACACGGUGUGUGUGACCUUGUGCCCGACGGUCUGGAGGGACCAUUGAGUGGGCCAUUGCCUGUCCAGGCCUCUCCUGUGCUCCAGAAUGUUACGAGGGAUACCUCUCCAAAGGGGUGGGUGGGGGCGCCGCGUUCACAGUCAGCACCCUGGACAGCCCAUCCCCCAGCUGCUGGUGCAUCCCAUAGCAGGGCCAGGUCCCCCGGGAAGUGGGGGCAUCUCUGUAGAGCUGGCAGACCCCUGCCCACCCUGGGGCUGUGCCCCAAGCCCAGUGCUCCCAGUGAGGACAGAUUCUCUUAAUUAGGGAUGUCCCCUGGCACUUCUGCCACGGAGCUGGCCUCUGGUCCUGCACACUCCAGACACAUCCACCCUGGCUCACACACACCCCGGCUCACAUGCACCCCGGAUCCCACCCCCGCUGACACUCACCCCGGUUCCCAUGCACCCCAGGCUCACAUGCACUCCCGGCUCACACGCACCCCUGCUCACACGCACUCCGGCCCACACGCACCCCUGCUCACACGCACUUCGGCCCACACGCACCCCGCUCACACACCCCGCUCACCCAGUUCCCACGCACCCCAGGCUCCCACGGACCCCCGCUCACAUGCACCCCGGUUCCCACGCACCCCAGGCUCCCAUGCACCCGGCUCACAUUCACGCCCGCUCACACGCACCCCAGCUCACAUGCACCCCCGCUUGCAUGCACCUCGCCUCCCACCCCCGCUCACACACACCCCCGGCUCGCAUCCUGGGCUCACAUGCACCCCCGGCUCCCAUGCACCCCUGGGUCACACACAUCCCCGCUCACACGCACCCCAGCUCUCACGCACCCCCCAGCUCACACCCCCCAGCUUGCACCCCCGGCACACAUGCACCCCGGCUCACACGCACCCCCGGGCUCACACGUGCCCUGGCUCACAUGCACCCCUGGGCUCACACGUGCCCUGACUCGCACACCUGGGCUCACAUGCACCCCGGCUCACACGCACCCCAGGUCACACGCAUCCCCACUCACAUGCACCCAGGCUCACACGCACCCCGGCUCACACGCACCCCCUCUCACACGCACCCCCGCUCACACGUACCCCUGCUCACACGCACCCCGGGCCCACAUGCACUCCGGCUCACACGCACCCUCACUCAUGCACCCUGGGCCCACACGCACCCCAGCUCCCAUGUACCCCUGCUCACAUGCACCCCAGCUCCCAUGCAUCCCGGGCUCACAUACACCUUGACUCACACGUCUCAGGCUCAUGCAUCGGCCCCCUGGUGCGUC
Molecule: long non-coding RNA, 1734 nt
Filed under: Pan troglodytes (chimpanzee)
Lineage: Eukaryota; Metazoa; Chordata; Mammalia; Primates; Hominidae
Description: long non-coding RNA NONPTRT002480
Source: RNAcentral